This 533-nucleotide ribosomal RNA is filed under the name uncultured Actinomycetes bacterium. Its description in RNAcentral is "bacterial SSU rRNA". It matches the Rfam family "Bacterial small subunit ribosomal RNA", at positions 355 to 897 of the family's 1533-position model. Lineage: Bacteria; Bacillati; Actinomycetota; Actinomycetes. The record is from RNAcentral.
UGGGGGAUCUUGCGCUAAUGCGCGAAAGCGUGACGCAGCGACGCCGCGUGGGGGAUGAAGGCCCUCGGGUUGUAAACCCCUUUCGGCAGGGACGAAGCGAGAGUGACGGUACCUGCAGAAGAAGUCCCGGCUAACUACGUGCCAGCAGCCGCGGUAACACGUAGGGGACGAGCGUUGUCCGGAUUCAUUGGGCGUAAAGCGCGCGUAGGCGGCUCGGAAAGUCGGUCGUGAAAUGCCGGGGCUCAACCCCGGGACUGCGUCCGAUACUCCCGAGCUGGAGGCAGGUAGGGGAGAUCGGAAUUCCUGGUGUAGCGGUGAAAUGCGCAGAUAUCAGGAGGAACACCGGUGGCGAAGGCGGAUCUCUGGGCCUUGCCUGACGCUGAGGCGCGAAAGCUAGGGGAGCGAACAGGAUUAGAUACCCUGGUAGUCCUAGCCGUAAACGUUGGGUGCUAGGUGUGGGCGGAUAUCGACCCCGUCCGUGCCGAAGCUAACGCAUUAAGCACCCCGCCUGGGGAGUACGGCCGCAAGGCUAA